UACGUAGGUGGCAAGCGUUGUCCGGAAUUAUUGGGCGUAAAGCGCGCGCAGGCGGUCCUUUAAGUCUGAUGUGAAAGCCCACGGCUCAACCGUGGAGGGUCAUUGGAAACUGGAGGACUUGAGUACAGAAGAGGAAAGCGGAAUUCCACGUGUAGCGGUGAAAUGCGUAGAGAUGUGGAGGAACACCAGUGGCGAAGGCGGCUUUCUGGUCUGUAACUGACGCUGAGGCGCGAAAGCCAGGGGAGCAAACGGG
RNAcentral lists this ribosomal RNA (253 nucleotides) under uncultured bacterium. Its description in RNAcentral is "partial 16S ribosomal RNA". It matches the Rfam family "Bacterial small subunit ribosomal RNA", at positions 524 to 776 of the family's 1533-position model. The record is from RNAcentral.